UGGUAAUCAUGAGUGAGAGAGAGAGAGAGAGAGAGAGAAGGGGUUGGCUGGAGAAUAUUGCAGUUGAGUGAAAAGAACCAUUGUUGAGGGGGUCAUAACUAUGUGCUGUCUGCACUGUGUGUAUCUUUGGGGAAAGGAAGGAAAUAACCUUAAAUUCUGUGGCCCCUGUCAUCUGAAUUUAGCAACAUUUGCACCACAGAGGGUUGAAAAUCUAAGGCAAUUUGUAUCAUCAUGCUCUCUCUCUCUCUCUCUCUCUCUCUCUCUCUCUCUCUCUCUCUCUCUCUCUCU
Molecule: microRNA precursor, 288 nt
Filed under: Prunus dulcis (almond)
Lineage: Eukaryota; Viridiplantae; Streptophyta; Magnoliopsida; Rosales; Rosaceae
Description: sRNA ncRNA
Source: RNAcentral